This 322-nucleotide ribosomal RNA is filed under the name uncultured prokaryote. Its description in RNAcentral is "bacterial SSU rRNA". It matches the Rfam family "Bacterial small subunit ribosomal RNA", at positions 26 to 352 of the family's 1533-position model. The record is from RNAcentral.
AGAUUGAACGCUGGCGGCAUGCCUAACACAUGCAAGUCGAGCGGUAACAGGUCUUCGGAUGCUGACGAGUGGCGGACGGGUGAGUAAUGCGUAGGAAUCUGUCUUUUAGUGGGGGACAACCCAGGGAAACUUGGGCUAAUACCGCAUAAGCUCUGAGGAGGAAAGCGGGGGACCGAAAGGCCUCGCGCUGAAGGAGCGGCCGAUGUCCGAUUAGCUAGUUGGUGAGGUAAAGGCUUACCAAGGCGACGAUCGGUAGCUGGUCUGAGAGGAUGAUCAGCCACACUGGGACUGAGACACGGCCCAGACUCCUACGGGAGGCAGC